RNAcentral lists this ribosomal RNA (253 nucleotides) under uncultured bacterium. Its description in RNAcentral is "partial 16S ribosomal RNA". It matches the Rfam family "Bacterial small subunit ribosomal RNA", at positions 524 to 776 of the family's 1533-position model. The record is from RNAcentral. RNAcentral also lists the same sequence under 1 other name.
UACAGAGGUCCCGAGCGUUGUUCGGAUUCACUGGGCGUAAAGGGUGCGUAGGUGGUGAAGUAAGUCGGAUGUGAAAUCUCGGAGCUUAACUCCGAAACUGCAUUGGAAACUACUUUGCUCGAGGGUUGGAGGGGGGACUGGAAUUCUCGGUGUAGCAGUGAAAUGCGUAGAUAUCGAGAGGAACACCAGUGGCGAAGGCGAGUCCCUGGACAACUCCUGACACUGAGGCACGAAAGCUAGGGGAGCAAACAGG